RNAcentral lists this ribosomal RNA (468 nucleotides) under uncultured bacterium. Its description in RNAcentral is "partial 16S ribosomal RNA". It matches the Rfam family "Bacterial small subunit ribosomal RNA", at positions 28 to 507 of the family's 1533-position model. The record is from RNAcentral.
GACGAACGCUGGCGGCGUGCUUAACACAUGCAAGUCGAACGGAAAGGCCCUGCUUUUGUGGGGUGCUCGAGUGGCGAACGGGUGAGUAACACGUGAGUAACCUGCCCUUGACUUUGGGAUAACUUCAGGAAACUGGUGCUAAUACCGGAUAGGAGCUCCUGCUGCAUGGUGGGGGUUGGAAAGUUUCGGCGGUUGGGGAUGGACUCGCGGCUUAUCAGCUUGUUGGUGGGGGAGUGGCUUACCAAGGCUUUGACGGGUAGCCGGCCUGAGAGGGUGACCGGCCACAUUGGGACUGAGAUACGGACCAGACUCCUACGGGAGGCAGCAGUGGGGAAUAUUGCACAAUGGGCGGAAGCCUGAUGAAGCAACGCCGCGUGCGGGAUGACGGCCUUCGGGUUGUAAACCGCUUUCGCCUGUGACGAAGCGUGAGUGACGGUAAUGGGUAAAGAAGCACCGGCUAACUACGUG